CUGGCAGGGAUGGAGCUGGUGCGGGCCUGGAAGUAGAUGUCCUGGUUCUACUACCAACACCUGCUGGUCACAAUGCUCUACAUGCUGGAGCCCGAGGAGCGGAAGGUGCUCAAUUCCACGCUGGUUUCCAUUGAUACGCAGGAUACAUCUUCAUGACCCAGCACAUCAUGGCGAUAUUGCACUACUUUGAAAUUGUACAAUAA
RNAcentral lists this long non-coding RNA (203 nucleotides) under Homo sapiens (human). RNAcentral's name for it is "non-protein coding lnc-SLC22A15-4:1". The record is from RNAcentral. Lineage: Eukaryota; Metazoa; Chordata; Mammalia; Primates; Hominidae.